Molecule: ribosomal RNA, 429 nt
Filed under: Chloroflexota bacterium
Lineage: Bacteria; Bacillati; Chloroflexota
Description: Chloroflexi bacterium partial 16S ribosomal RNA
Rfam family: Bacterial small subunit ribosomal RNA
Source: RNAcentral
UGGGGAAUAUUGCACAAUGGGCGCAAGCCUGAUGCAGCCAUGCCGCGUGUGUGAAGAAGGCCUUCGGGUUGUAAAGCACUCUCAGCGGGGAGGAAGGGAGUAAAGUUAAUACCUUUGCUCAUUGACGUUACCCGCAGAAGAAGCACCGGCUAACUCCGUGCCAGCAGCCGCGGUAAUACGGAGGGUGCAAGCGUUAAUCGGAAUUACUGGGCGUAAAGCGCACGCAGGCGGUUUGUUAAGUCAGAUGUGAAAUCCCCGGGCUCAACCUGGGAACUGCAUCUGAUACUGGCAAGCUUGAGUCUCGUAGAGGGGGGUAGAAUUCCAGGUGUAGCGGUGAAAUGCGUAGAGAUCUGGAGGAAUACCGGUGGCGAAGGCGGCCCCCUGGACGAAGACUGACGCUCAGGUGCGAAAGCGUGGGGAGCAAACAGG